UACGGGGGGGGCAAGCGUUGUUCGGAAUUACUGGGCGUAAAGAGCUCGUAGGCGGCUUGGCAAGUCGGGUGUGAAAACUUCAGGCUCAACCUGGAGAUGGCACUCGAUACUGCCAUGGCUAGAGUCCGGUAGGGGACCACGGAAUUCCUGGUGUAGCGGUGAAAUGCGCAGAUAUCAGGAGGAACACCGGUGGCGAAGGCGGUGGUCUGGGCCGGCACUGACGCUGAGGUGCGAAAGCGUGGGGAGCAAACAGG
RNAcentral lists this ribosomal RNA (254 nucleotides) under uncultured bacterium. RNAcentral's name for it is "partial 16S ribosomal RNA". It matches the Rfam family "Bacterial small subunit ribosomal RNA", at positions 524 to 776 of the family's 1533-position model. The record is from RNAcentral.